UACAGAGGGUGCGAGCGUUAAUCGGAAUUACUGGGCGUAAAGGGCGCGUAGGCGGUUAUAUAAGUUAGAUGUGAAAGACCUGGGCUUAACCUGGGAAGGUCAUCUAAGACUGUAUGACUGGAGUGCGGUAGAGGGUAGCGGAAUUUCCGGUGUAGCGGUGAAAUGCGUAGACAUCGGAAGGAACACCAGUGGCGAAGGCGGCUACCUGGGCCGACACUGACGCUGAGGCGCGAAAGCGUGGGUAGCAAACAGG
This 253-nucleotide ribosomal RNA is filed under the name uncultured bacterium. RNAcentral's name for it is "partial 16S ribosomal RNA". It matches the Rfam family "Bacterial small subunit ribosomal RNA", at positions 524 to 776 of the family's 1533-position model. The record is from RNAcentral.